RNAcentral lists this ribosomal RNA (460 nucleotides) under uncultured bacterium. Its description in RNAcentral is "partial 16S ribosomal RNA". It matches the Rfam family "Bacterial small subunit ribosomal RNA", at positions 338 to 795 of the family's 1533-position model. The record is from RNAcentral.
CCUACGGGAUGCAGCAGUGAGGAAUAUUGGUCAAUGGACGAGAGUCUGAACCAGCCAAGUAGCGUGAAGGAUGACUGCCCUAUGGGUUGUAAACUUCUUUUAUAUGGGAAUAAAAUGUUCCACGUGUGGGAUUUUGUAUGUACCAUAUGAAUAAGGAUCGGCUAACUCCGUGCCAGCAGCCGCGGUAAUACGGAGGAUCCGAGCGUUAUCCGGAUUUAUUGGGUUUAAAGGGUGCGUAGGUGGAUUGUUAAGUCAGUUGUGAAAGUGUGCGGCUCAACCGUAAAAUUGCAGUUGAAACUGGCAGUCUUGAGUACAGUAGAGGUGGGCGGAAUUCGUGGUGUAGCGGUGAAAUGCUUAGAUAUCACGAAGAACUCCGAUUGCGAAGGCAGUUCACUGGACUGCAACUGACACUGAGGCUCGAAAGUGUGGGUAUCAAACAGGAUUAGAUACCCCAGUAGUC